RNAcentral lists this long non-coding RNA (1091 nucleotides) under Bemisia tabaci. RNAcentral's name for it is "lncRNA ENSSSA1UGG000618". Lineage: Eukaryota; Metazoa; Arthropoda; Insecta; Hemiptera; Aleyrodidae. The record is from RNAcentral.
AUCAAUCGCCGGGUUUUUUACUUUUUCCCUGUUUUACUUUGAAAUACUCUCGAUUUUUGCCGGUUUUCUAUUUGGAAUUUAUUUCUCCUUGUCUUAACCGAAACUUUAAACUCAACUGUGCUUCAGAGUCAGUGAUAAAUUGUUUGCCCUAGGUUACUUCAGGGAAGAAACACAACUUUGAAGAAACCCUUCACUCUAAAUUAUUACUGUUAUCGUUCUCUUGCUGUGCUUUUAGUUGAAAAACAACCAAGUGAUUACUACAUACUAUAUUAUUCUUUCAAUUGUGUGAGAUUUUAUUUGUAAUACUCUAUCUCUAUCAAUCUCAAUUGUUGGAAUUUCUCGUUGAGUCAACGCGGUUCGAGGUUAGAUUUUUUCAAUCGUGCGAAAAUUUACUCAAAGUGUUUAGAGUUGUCCGUUUUAAACUUCCGCUGAAAAGCUGCUUUUCUUUUUACUCUGAUCAGUUUUAUUCGCGUAUAGGUGUGUUUCACUGUUCAAUGACUCGCAUUAUUUGAGGUUGUGAGUCUUGAUUUGAUUAAAUAGUGCUACGGAACGUUGCAGAAAUGGGUGUCGCAAGUUGUAGAAAAUAUUCAAGCUGUGUCUUCAAUCUGGUCGUCGUUCUCACAUCUCUACAAUUAACUACAGGUGAGCCAAUUUUUCUUUUUAAAUGGUCUGAAUCCUUACAACUACAACUUAUACGUUUGCUGCAAGAGGGAUACUUUUCAGCCUACCUCGAAAAACGUAGACGACGUAGUAAUGUACGUAACCUCUAUACUCUUGACAGCUUAAUUCUGCUCCUUCUAAAUUUUCAGUCAGAAACGCCAUUAGCGGAUCCAGCAAAUUGGCAACAUUGUUUUUUCUUCAUUUAAACCUAUGGAAAUGUAUCGAUUAUUUGGCAAAGGUUGAAAUGGAAGAAAACCGAUGUUGCCAGAUUGCUGUAUUCGCUUCUGGAAAACGCCUCUGAAAUAUACAGAGACAAGAGACCCUCCACCAGUCCACCACUAGUAUCUCGGCCAUUGUGGAAGCUUUUACUUUCGGAACUUCAGCAUUCUUCUGUUGACUUACCUACAAGGUUGCUGUUCAACAACGUGUUG